GAUGAACGCUAGCUACAGGCUUAACACAUGCAAGUCGAGGGGCAGCACAGUGUAGCAAUACACGGGUGGCGACCGGCGCACGGGUGCGUAACGCGUAUCCAACCUUCCCGUUACUCUUGGAUAGCCUUCCGAAAGGGAGAUUAAUACAAGAUGGUAUUCAAAUUCCGCAUGUUAUUUGAAUUAAAGAUUUAUCGGUAACGGAUGGGGAUGCGUGACAUUAGGUAGAUGGCGGGGUAACGGCCCACCUAGCCGACGAUCUUUAGGGGUUCUGAGAGGAAGGUCCCCCACACUGGUACUGAGACACGGACCAGACUCCUACGGGAGGCAGCAGUGAGGAAUAUUGGUCAAUGGGCGAGAGCCUGAACCAGCCAAGUAGCGUGAAGGAUGACUGCCCUACGGGUUGUAAACUUCUUUUAUACGGGAAUAAAACCUCCCACGUGUGGGAGCUUGUAUGUACCGUAUGAAUAAGCAUCGGCUAACUCCGUG
This 486-nucleotide ribosomal RNA is filed under the name uncultured bacterium. RNAcentral's name for it is "bacterial SSU rRNA". It matches the Rfam family "Bacterial small subunit ribosomal RNA", at positions 28 to 507 of the family's 1533-position model. The record is from RNAcentral.